UAUUGCACAAUGGGCGAAAGCCUGAUGCAGCAACGCCUCGUGAGCGAUGAAGGCCUUCGGGUCGUAAAGCUCUGUCCUCCAGGAAGAUAAUGCCGGUACUUGAGGCGUAAGCCCCGGCUAACUACGUGCCAGCAGCCGCGGUAAUACGUAGGGGGCUAGCGUUAUCCGGAAUUACUGGGCGUAAAGGGUGCGUAGGUGGUUUCUUAAGUCAGAGGUGAAGGGCUACGGCUCAACCGUAGUAAGCCUUUGAAACUGGGGAACUUGAGUGCAGGAGAGGAGAGUGGAAUUCCUAGUGUAGCGGUGAAAUGCGUAGAUAUUAGGAGGAACACCAGUUGCGAAGGCGGCUCUCUGGACUGUAACUGACACUGAGGCACGAAAGCGUGGGGAGCAAACA
This 394-nucleotide ribosomal RNA is filed under the name uncultured bacterium. RNAcentral's name for it is "bacterial SSU rRNA". It matches the Rfam family "Bacterial small subunit ribosomal RNA", at positions 362 to 774 of the family's 1533-position model. The record is from RNAcentral.